GCGGCCGCCGUAGUUGAAUCUCCUCGGCGCCGGAAGCCCCGCCACCCCGCUUCCUGGUUCAUGUGCGGCCUUCGUUCCCUCGCUAUCUCGACCUUGACUUCGCAUGUGCAUCCGCCGAAGUCUUUCUAGAUCAAUUGGCCCCAUCUCUCGUCUUCCCGAUUCGGCCAUGACCUCACCCGUAUCCUCGACGUAGGACCUCGGACUUCAUUUCCGCCACCCCGACACUUCCGGAAUCCCCGGAAGCGACCCGUUGCCAUGGCGACUGUGUACACAGCCAGGCAGCCCCGCGUGGGGAGUGCAGGUGGUUUCGGUUGCGGCAGUCGCGUCCCAGGAGCGUCGCUGCCUGGUGAACGCUAGAAUGGGUACUAGGAAAAAAGUUCAUGCAUUUGUCCGUGUCAGACCCACCGAUGACUUUGCUCAUGAAAUGAUCAGAUACGGAGAUGACAAAAGAAGCAUUGAUAUUCACUUAAAAAAAGACAUUCGGAGAGGAGUUGUCAAUAACCAACAGACAGACUGGUCGUUUAAGUUGGAUGGAGUUCUUCACGAUGCCUCCCAGGACUUGGUUUAUGAGACAGUUGCAAAGGAUGUGGUUUCUCAGGCCCUCGAUGGCUAUAAUGGCACCAUCAUGUGUUAUGGGCAGACGGGAGCUGGCAAGACAUACACCAUGAUGGGGGCAACUGAGAAUUACAAGCACCGGGGGAUCCUCCCUCGUGCCGUGCAGCAGGUUUUUAGGAUGAUCGAAGAACGCCCCACACAUGCCAUCACUGUGCGUGUUUCCUACUUGGAAAUCUAUAAUGAGAGCCUGUUUGAUCUCCUGUCCACUCUGCCCUAUGUUGGACCCUCAGUCACACCAAUGACCAUCGUGGAAAACCCCCAAGGAGUCUUCAUUAAGGGCUUGUCAGUUCACCUCACAAGUCAGGAGGAGGAUGCAUUCAGCCUCCUUUUUGAGGGUGAGACCAACAGGAUUAUAGCCUCCCACACUAUGAACAAAAACUCUUCCAGAUCACACUGCAUUUUCACCAUCUACAUAGAGGCCCAUUCCCGGACCUUAUCAGAGGAAAAGUACAUCACUUCCAAAAUUAACUUGGUGGAUCUGGCAGGCUCAGAGAGGCUGGGGAAGUCUGGGUCUAAGGGCCAAGUCCUGAAGGAAGCCACCUACAUCAACAAAUCACUCUCAUUCCUGGAGCAGGCCAUCAUUGCCCUUGGGGACCAGAAGCGGGACCACAUCCCCUUUCGGCAGUGCAAGCUCACCCACGCUCUGAAGGACUCGUUAGGGGGAAACUGCAAUAUGGUCCUCGUGACAAACAUCUAUGGAGAAGCUGCCCAGUUAGAAGAAACGCUAUCUUCACUGAGAUUUGCCAGCAGGAUGAAGCUAGUCACCACUGAGCCUGCCAUCAAUGAAAAGUAUGAUGCUGAGAGAAUGGUCAAGAACCUGGAGAAGGAACUAGCACUGCUCAAGCAGGAGCUGGCUAUCCAUGACAGCCUGACCAACCGCACCUUUGUGACCUAUGACCCCAUGGAUGAAAUCCAGAUUGCUGAGAUCAACUCCCAGGUGCGGAGGUACCUGGAGGGGACACUGGACGAGAUCGACAUAAUCAGCCUUAGACAGAUCAAGGAGGUGUUCAACCAGUUCCGGGUGGUUCUGAGCCAACAGGAACAGGAAGUGGAGUCCACUUUGCGCAGGAAGUACACCCUCAUUGACAGGAAUGACUUUGCAGCCAUUUCUGCUAUCCAGAAGGCGGGGCUUGUGGAUGUUGAUGGCCACCUAGUGGGUGAGCCUGAAGGACAAAACUUUGGACUCGGAGUCGCCCCUUUCUCUACCAAACCUGGGAAGAAAGCCAAGUCCAAGAAGACAUUCAAAGAGCCACUCAGCUCCUUGGCAAGAAAGGAAGGUGCCAGCAGCCCUGUGAAUGGGAAGGACUUGGAUUACGUUUCCACCUCCAAGACACAGCUGGUCCCAUCCUCCAAAGAUGGGGAUGUCAAAGACAUGCUUUCGCGGGACCGGGAAACUUCCAGCAUUGAGCCCCUUCCCUCAGACUCCCCGAAGGAGGAAUUACGCCCAAUUAGGCCCGACACCCCACCCUCCAAACCAGUGGCCUUUGAGGAGUUUAAGAAUGAGCAAGGUAGUGAGAUCAACCGAAUUUUCAAAGAAAACAAAUCCAUCUUGAAUGAACGGAGGAAAAGGGCCAGCGAGACCACACAGCACAUCAAUGCCAUCAAGCGGGAGAUUGAUGUGACCAAGGAGGCCCUGAAUUUCCAGAAGUCACUACGGGAGAAGCAAGACAGGAAACACCACAGGUUACUGGGCUUUCCCUCGCUAAAUCACAACCCUGUUCCAGGCCAGCUUCCAUGAGUGAUCUCCAGAUGUCACUUGGUUUAUUCCUGCAAGUCAGAUGCAUCAUCUCACUCACAGGGGGUGCAUUUUACUCAUUUAUUUCUCAGAGGAGCAGGGCGUGGUGGCACACACUUGUAAUCCUAGCAUCUUGGGAGGCUGAGGCAUGAAAAUCGCUUGAACCCAGGAGGCAGAGGUUGUAGUGAGGCAAGAUUGCGCCACUGCACUCCAGUCUGGGUGACAGAUGAAGACUGUCUUGGAAAAAAAAAAUAAUAAUAAUUAAACAAUUAUUAUUUCUCAGAGGGC
Molecule: small RNA, 2638 nt
Filed under: Pan troglodytes (chimpanzee)
Lineage: Eukaryota; Metazoa; Chordata; Mammalia; Primates; Hominidae
Description: processed transcript
Source: RNAcentral